GGGAUAAGAAGAAGGCCAGUACAUAGAUUGGUCUAGUUCAGGGGUGAAAUGCUCCCGGUUCGGACCGGCUCGGGCGAGGAUACUACAAUGGUUGGAGCUUUGAGCAGGGAUCCUAAGUCUCUUCAUUCAACACCAUCAUAAUUUCGAACUGCAGCUGAAAAAAUGGGCUGUAAAACAGAUUUUGUCUUGAGAGGUUCAUCACAAGCAACAGAAAUGAAACAAGCAGAGUGAACAUCUCAAGAUUCUUCUGAGAAAGGACGAUGAAAAAAAAAAAAAGAGGAGGAAAUGCACAAUUGCAUCUAAUCCCAUUCUUCUUUAAGUACCAUUUUGAGCUCGUAUGAAAUGAACCAAGCAAUCAGAAGAGAGACCACCUCAAAGCUGCCAUAACAAGAAUUCUUGUUGACUUAUAUUUAUGGUUGCCUGCUUCCUUCACUCUAUGUCAAUUUUAGGCAUUUCCACUACAGUAGCUAUUCACCAAUGGCUACUGCUGAAAACUCUACUUGAUGGGAAAAGCGGUAGUGCUCUCAUUGUUGUGUUGAAAACUACAAAUAUACUGUACUAAAUAUUGAA
This is a non-coding RNA of Pantherophis guttatus, 570 nucleotides long. The record is from RefSeq and is a predicted model, not a curated record. NCBI's taxonomy places the organism in Eukaryota, Metazoa, Chordata, Lepidosauria, Squamata, Colubridae.